This 815-nucleotide ribosomal RNA is filed under the name Mycobacterium sp. PAP1-15_Pa. Its description in RNAcentral is "bacterial SSU rRNA". It matches the Rfam family "Bacterial small subunit ribosomal RNA", at positions 59 to 890 of the family's 1533-position model. Lineage: Bacteria; Bacillati; Actinomycetota; Actinomycetes; Mycobacteriales; Mycobacteriaceae. The record is from RNAcentral.
CAGUCGAACGGAAAGGCCCUUCGGGGUACUCGAGUGGCGAACGGGUGAGUAACACGUGGGUGAUCUGCCCUGCACUUUGGGAUAAGCCUGGGAAACUGGGUCUAAUACCGAAUAUGACUGCGCACUUCCUGGUGUGUGGUGGAAAGCUUUUGCGGUGUGGGAUGGGCCCGCGGCCUAUCAGCUUGUUGGUGGGGUAAUGGCCUACCAAGGCGACGACGGGUAGCCGGCCUGAGAGGGUGACCGGCCACACUGGGACUGAGAUACGGCCCAGACUCCUACGGGAGGCAGCAGUGGGGAAUAUUGCACAAUGGGCGCAAGCCUGAUGCAGCGACGCCGCGUGAGGGAUGACGGCCUUCGGGUUGUAAACCUCUUUCAAUAGGGACGAAGCGCAAGUGACGGUACCUAUAGAAGAAGGACCGGCCAACUACGUGCCAGCAGCCGCGGUAAUACGUAGGGUCCGAGCGUUGUCCGGAAUUACUGGGCGUAAAGAGCUCGUAGGUGGUUUGUCGCGUUGUUCGUGAAAACUCACAACUCAAUUGUGGGCGUGCGGGCGAUACGGGCAGACUAGAGUACUGCAGGGGAGACUGGAAUUCCUGGUGUAGCGGUGGAAUGCGCAGAUAUCAGGAGGAACACCGGUGGCGAAGGCGGGUCUCUGGGCAGUAACUGACGCUGAGGAGCGAAAGCGUGGGGAGCGAACAGGAUUAGAUACCCUGGUAGUCCACGCCGUAAACGGUGGGUACUAGGUGUGGGUUCCUUCCUUGGGAUCCGUGCCGUAGCUAACGCAUUAAGUACCCCGCCUGGGGAGUACGGCCGCA